This is a long non-coding RNA of Strongylocentrotus purpuratus (purple sea urchin), 357 nucleotides long. RefSeq lists it as uncharacterized. Lineage: Eukaryota; Metazoa; Echinodermata; Echinoidea; Camarodonta; Strongylocentrotidae. The transcript has 3 exons. The record is from RefSeq and is a predicted model, not a curated record.
GAUGACUCGGAUCUUUUAGCCAGAGUGAUUAAGGUCUACGUACAGGCAUUCAGGAAUGAGCUGAAGUGUUGUCUGGACAAAAAGGUGUCGAUACCACAUAAUAACCCAUACUUAGCGGUAUUGCUACUCUUGAGACAGGUCAACAAAUCGCAUGGGUACAAGGUUCCAGUGAAUCAGUUUUACAUCCUUCAACCAGGAGAUGAAGAAACAAAUAGGAAGAUCGAGAAUCAUCUUCUUGGGAAUCAUCAACAGCAUUUGCAACCCCCUCUCCUGGGUCUCCUUCCAUUAGGUGUCCUGCUUUUUCUACUGGAUGUACAUCUGAAGUGGAAAACGCUGUGUAUGGACUUUGACUAUGCA